AGUGAACGCUGGCGGUAGGCCUAACACAUGCAAGUCGAACGGCAGCACAGUAAUAGCUUGCUCUUACGGUGUCGAGUGGCGGACGGGUGAGGGAUACAUCCGAAUCUACUUUUUCGCGGGGGAUAACGUAGGGAAACUUACGCUAAUACCGCAUACGACCUACGGGUGAAAGCAGGUGAUCUUCGGACCCUGCGCGAGUUAAUUAGGCGAUGUCGGAUUUGCUAGGUGGGGGGGUAAAGGCCCACCAAGGCGACGAGCCGUAGAUGGUCUGAGAGGAUGAGACGCCACACUGGAACUGAGACACGGGCCAGACUCCUACGGGAGGCCGCAGUGGGGAAUAUUGGACAAUGGGCGCAAGCAUGAUCCAGCCAUACCGAGUGGGUGAAGAAGGCCUUCGGGUUGUAAAGCCGUUUUGUUGGGAAAGAAAAGCGGCAGGUUAAUACCACGCUGUUCUGACGGUACCCAAAGAAUAAGCACCGGCUAACUUCGUG
RNAcentral lists this ribosomal RNA (491 nucleotides) under uncultured bacterium. RNAcentral's name for it is "partial 16S ribosomal RNA". It matches the Rfam family "Bacterial small subunit ribosomal RNA", at positions 29 to 507 of the family's 1533-position model. The record is from RNAcentral.